This 499-nucleotide ribosomal RNA is filed under the name uncultured Glomeromycotina. RNAcentral describes it as "partial small subunit ribosomal RNA". It matches the Rfam family "Eukaryotic small subunit ribosomal RNA", at positions 591 to 1092 of the family's 1831-position model. Lineage: Eukaryota; Fungi; Glomeromycota. The record is from RNAcentral.
CCAAUAGCGUAUAUUAAAGUUGUUGCAGUUAAAAAGCUCGUAGUUGAAUUUCGGGAUUAGUACGUUGGUCGUGCCUUAGGUACGUACUGGUGUUACUGGUUCCUACCUUCUGACGAACCAUCAUGUCAUUAAUUUGGUGUGGCGGGGAAUCAGGACUGUUACUUUGAAAAAAUUAGAGUGUUUAAAGCAGGCUCGCGCUUGAAUACAUUAGCAUGGAAUAAUGAAAUAGGACGUUGACCCUAUUUUGUUGGUUUCUAGGAUUGACGUAAUGAUUAAUAGGGAUGGUUGGGGGCAUUAGUAUUCAAUUGUCAGAGGUGAAAUUCUUGGAUUUAUUGAAGACUAACUACUGCGAAAGCAUUUGCCAAGGAUGUUUUCAUUAAUCAAGAACGAAAGUUAGGGGAUCGAAGACGAUCAGAUACCGUCGUAGUCUUAACCAUAAACUAUGCCGACUAGGGAUCGGAUGAUGUUAAUUUUUUAAUGACUCAUUCGGCGCCUUACG